RNAcentral lists this ribosomal RNA (253 nucleotides) under uncultured bacterium. Its description in RNAcentral is "partial 16S ribosomal RNA". It matches the Rfam family "Bacterial small subunit ribosomal RNA", at positions 524 to 776 of the family's 1533-position model. The record is from RNAcentral.
UACGAAGGGUGCAAACGUUGCUCGGAAUUAUUGGGCGUAAAGCGCACGUAGGCGGCAAUUCAAGUCGGAUGUGAAAUCCCUCGGCUCAACCAAGGAAGUGCAUCCGAAACUGGAUUGCUUGAGUACCAAAGAGGAUCGCGGAAUUCCCGGUGUAGAGGUGAAAUGCGUAGAUAUCGGGAGGAACACCAGUGGCGAAGGCGACUACCUGGCCUGUUCUUGACGCUGAGGCGCGAAAGCUAGGGGAGCAAACGGG